RNAcentral lists this ribosomal RNA (503 nucleotides) under uncultured bacterium. RNAcentral's name for it is "partial 16S ribosomal RNA". It matches the Rfam family "Bacterial small subunit ribosomal RNA", at positions 28 to 523 of the family's 1533-position model. The record is from RNAcentral.
GAUGAACGCUAGCGGCAGGCCUAACACAUGCAAGUCGAGGGGUAGCAGGAUUAAGCUUGCUUAAUUGCUGACGACCGGCGCACGGGUGCGUAACGCGUAUGCAACCUACCUUAUACUGGGGUAUAGCCCGGAGAAAUUCGGAUUAAUCCCCCAUAGUACUAAUGAAUCGCAUGGUUUAUUAGUUAAAGCAUUGCGGUAUAAGAUGGGCAUGCGUCCUAUUAGCUAGAUGGUGAGGUAACGGCUCACCAUGGCUACGAUAGGUAGGGGGCCUGGGAGGGUGGUCCCCCGCCCUGGAAGUGAGAGACGGACCAGACUCCUACGGGAGGCAGCAGUGAGGAAUAUUGGUCAAUGGGCGCAAGCCUGAACCAGCCAUGCCGCGUGCAGGAAGAAUGCCCUAUGGGUUGUAAACUGCUUUUAUUUGGGAAUAAACCUCUUUACGUGUAGAGAGCUGAAGGUACCAAAUGAAAAAGCACCGGCUAACUCCGUGCCAGCCGCCGCCGUAA